CGAGGAAUAUUGGUCAAUGGGCGCAAGCCUGAACCAGCCAUCCCGCGUGCAGGAAGACGGCGCUAUGCGUCGUAAACUGCUUUUCCAGGGGGAGAAACUUGCGCACGUGUUGCGCAAUUGACGGUACCCUGGGAAUAAGCAUCGGCUAACUCCGUGCCAGCAGCCGCGGUAAUACGGAGGAUGCGAGCGUUAUCCGGAUUCAUUGGGUUUAAAGGGUGUGUAGGCGGACUAUUAAGUCAGUGGUGAAAUCCUGCAGCUUAACUGCAGAACUGCCAUUGAUACUGAUAGCCUUGAGUUUGGUUAAGGUAGGCGGAAUGUGUAAUGUAGCGGUAAAAUGCUUAGAUAUUACACAGAACACCAAUUGCGUAGGCAGCUUACUGAGCCGACACUGACGCUGAGGCACGAAAGCGUGGGGAUCGAACAG
Molecule: ribosomal RNA, 424 nt
Filed under: uncultured bacterium
Lineage: Bacteria
Description: bacterial SSU rRNA
Rfam family: Bacterial small subunit ribosomal RNA
Source: RNAcentral